Molecule: non-coding RNA, 1044 nt
Filed under: Perkinsus marinus ATCC 50983
Lineage: Eukaryota; Perkinsozoa; Perkinsida; Perkinsidae
Description: Eukaryotic large subunit ribosomal RNA
Rfam family: Eukaryotic large subunit ribosomal RNA
Source: Rfam by way of RNAcentral
AAGGCCUGAUGUGUGUGAGAUUACCCGCUGAUUUAAGCAUAUAAGUAAGCGGAGGAAAAGAAACUAACUAGGAUUCCCUUAGUAAUGGCGAAUGAACAGGGAUCAGCUCAGUGCCAAAUCGGAAUCACUUGUGGUUCUGAAAUGUGGCUUGAAGGCAGUACCAGUGGCAUCGCGGACGAAAGUCUCUUGGAAAAGAGCGUCAUAGAGGGUGAGAAUCCCGUGAGUCGUUCGCCGUUUGUCACGUACGGUCUGCGUUCUAACGAGUCGCGUUCCUUGGGAUUGGAGCGUAAACGGGUGGUAAAUUUCAUCCAAAGCAAAAUAUAUACUCGAGACCGAUAGCACAAAAGUACCGUGAGGGAAAGGUGAAAAGAACUUUGAGAAGAGGGUUAAAUAGUGCCUGAAAUCGUUGAGAAGGAAGCGGAUGCCGCCGUUGCAUAUGCUGAUUGUAGGAUUGCUGCUCGCUCCUGUCUUCUGCUACUCAUUCACAGACCUGGUCGUGUUGAGCAGUUGUUUGGCAGAUGUUAGUGGUGUUUCCUACUUUCAGUCGUCAGCAUCACUGGCUGAGUGGAAAUAAUCCUUGGAUGCUAAUUGGUUCGCUAUCUGUGAAUUGGUUGCUUCCUUGCGAUACUCACUACUCGGUCAGUGAGGAAGUGCGUUUGCUGGUCAACGAGCUUUCUAACUGUCAUUACCCUGCGCUUUUCGAUUCGUCGAGUGGCCAGGAUGUGGCUUUGAGAUUGUUCGCACUUAGUAAUCGCGAUGCUGGCUUCCAACGGUUGCCUCCGGCCCGUCUUGAAACACGGACCAAGGAGUCUAACGUAUGUGCGAGUGUGUGAGUGGCAAACUUAUACGCGUAAUGAAAGUGAGGCCGUAUGGCCAUGUUGGGGUCACCAACAACCGACCUUGAUCUUCGGUGAAAGGUUUGAGUAUGAGCAUAUCCGUUAGGACCCGAAAGAUGGUGAACUAUGCCUGAGCAGGUGAAGCCAGGGGAAACUCUGGUGGAGGCUCGUAGCGAUACUGACGUGCAAAUCGUUCGUCAGACUUGGG